GGAAACUACAGAGGGCAAACUUUUUCCACAUAUAUGUUCCAAAUUUGUUUCUGGCUGCCCAGAUGUAGGGUUCCGCAGUAACGAAAUCUAUAAAUACCCUGCCUGCCAAAAUAUUAGUUCAGAGAAUGGUUGUUAUCUUGCUGAUCCAUCAUGUGCUAACACGGAAAUAUCUAACGAAGGAACACCAGAAACAAAUUUCACUGAGUUUACAACAGAUCAUGUGAUAGACAACACAAUAGCAAUGGAUAUUGACACAACCACAUACCCAGAAGACGACUCAGCACAUAUAGGGGCAAUA
This is a long non-coding RNA of Saccostrea cuccullata (small rock oyster), 298 nucleotides long. RefSeq lists it as uncharacterized. The transcript is spliced from 3 exons. The record is from RefSeq and is a predicted model, not a curated record. Lineage: Eukaryota; Metazoa; Mollusca; Bivalvia; Ostreida; Ostreidae.